UAAAUUGUAUAUUCCUAAAUUAUGAACUUAUUCCUAAAGUCGCUCUUUUUGGAUGCUGUUAUAAAUAGAAACCCAUUCUUAACUGUAAUCGCAGUUUUUCCGGUUCCGCCAUCGGGCGCGCGCGGAGCAGGACGCGGGUCAGGCCGCGCCGGGUGGAGGGCGCACGGCCGGUGCUCACCCGGCAGCGUCGGGGCUUUCGCGGCGGUUCUAGAACAACCCGCCCAUCACUGCGCUCCGCAGGGAGGAGCCGGGCCCGCGCCGCCAGCCGGGGUGAGGCCCGCACCCAGGAGGCCGCGCUGGGGCCGAGGGCCGCAGAAGGGAGACAGCGCUCGCUCCACAUUUCACAACGCCCACGAGGGAAGGCCUGCACGCGAGGCUCAGCCGUCCUAAAUCUGCGGCUCUUGCUGCCCUGCUGUUACACUGGUUGCUGUGAAAAAACCACCUUUCCCUUUCGGAAUCUGAGCUCCCUCCGACACAAGCAAGCGCUCAGCUCCCACUCGGCUCAGAAGAUCACCCGUGACUGAUACCAUCGCCUCAGAAAUAGUCAUUCAAUGGAAAAUUUUACUCUCACAGGAAUAAAACUACAGUUUGGCAAGGAAGGCUGUGCUCCCUCUCUGC
RNAcentral lists this long non-coding RNA (618 nucleotides) under Chinchilla lanigera (long-tailed chinchilla). Its description in RNAcentral is "lncRNA (ENSCLAG00000027517.1)". Lineage: Eukaryota; Metazoa; Chordata; Mammalia; Rodentia; Chinchillidae. The record is from RNAcentral.